This 751-nucleotide ribosomal RNA is filed under the name uncultured bacterium. RNAcentral's name for it is "bacterial SSU rRNA". It matches the Rfam family "Bacterial small subunit ribosomal RNA", at positions 104 to 832 of the family's 1533-position model. The record is from RNAcentral.
GGGUGAGUAACGCGUAGACAACCUGCCGUAAAGAUGGGGACAACAGUUCGAAAGGACUGCUAAUACCGAAUGUUGUAGAGUUUCCGCAUGGGAAUCCUACUAAAGGUGGCCUCUACUUGUAAGCUAUCGCUUUACGAUGGGUCUGCGUCUGAUUAGCUAGUUGGUGGGGUAACGGCCUACCAAGGCGACGAUCAGUAGCCGGUCUGAGAGGAUGAACGGCCACAUUGGAACUGAGACACGGUCCAGACUCCUACGGGAGGCAGCAGUGGGGAAUCUUCCGCAAUGGGCGCAAGCCUGACGGAGCAACGCCGCGUGAGUGAAGAAGGGUUUCGACUCGUAAAGCUCUGUUGUCGGGGACGAAUGUGGAGAUGGUGAAUAACCAUUUUCAAUGACGGUACCUGACGAGGAAGCCACGGCUAACUACGUGCCAGCAGCCGCGGUAAUACGUAGGUGGCGAGCGUUGUCCGGAAUUAUUGGGCGUAAAGGGAGCGCAGGCGGGAAGGUAAGUCUAUCUUAAAAGUGCGGGGCUCAACCCCGUGAGGGGAUGGAAACUAUCUUUCUUGAGUGCAGGAGAGGAAAGCGGAAUUCCUAGUGUAGCGGUGAAAUGCGUAGAUAUUAGGAGGAACACCAGUGGCGAAGGCGGCUUUCUGGACUGUAACUGACGCUGAGGCUCGAAAGCGUGGGGAGCGAACAGGAUUAGAUACCCUGGUAGUCCACGCCGUAAACGAUGAAUGCUAGGUGUAGGAGGUAU